CUGCAUUGCUUUUUCUGCUUAUUUGGUUUUUUUGUUGUUUUUUUUUUGUCAGUUUGUUUGUUUCUGUUUGCUUUUAAGCUACCUUAUUUACAGAGGAGGAGUUGCCAUUAUAUGAAGGCUUUUAGAAAGCCUGCUGCCCAGCACCAAAAGAUCUUGGAGUUCUUAAGGCCAUGUGCUCCCAGCCUGGCCUCUGUGUUGUAACUUUCUCUGCAGUGUGGGUAAUUUCGCCCCAGCACAUUUCUUCAGGGCCAGGAGCUGUGCACAUGCAGGGUUCUGCUGCCCCAUUGCUUGUUCCAGCAACACGAAACCAGAGUGUCCCCCUGUGAAACAGUAAUCGCUCCACAGCUCCCUGGCUGCCUACCCUCAGCUCCUCGGGAUCUUGUAUCCACAGCUCCCCACAGCCUCAGCUUUCACACCUGGAAUUCACCCUCGAUUUCUUCUUUAAACUUGAUACAGUAUUUAACUACUUCAUCUAUGGCUUCAGUAACAUUCUGCUAAACUGAGUUUAAGGUGAAUGGUUGACGACUGUGUUAAAUGCUUUCUUAAAAUACACUGACGAGCCACAUUUUCAUUUAAAUAGCACUUCUGAUUAAUUAAUAAUCUCUGUGAAUAUGGUAAUUGCAGUUGUGUUGCCAGGAAGAGAUUCAUUUGCAUUGAGAACAAGGGUCAGAACUUUUCUGCCAAGUGCAUUUCAGUCUUCAGCAAAGUUGAGAAAUAACAUCCAGAAUACACAGAUGAGUCGAUCCUCCUGUUGCCUUUGUUGCUGGGAACAAGUCCAUUUAUAUCCAAGUGAGCAGAUUCGGUGUUUGAGAUUCAGGCAACUUUUUUCAUACAUCAGAAAAAAUUCUAAAAAUUUUAAGAAAUCUUCAUUAAACCAUUAAUCAGCACUCCACUCUGUUUCAUGUCCUUAUAGUGUUUCUUCAGUUUAACUCACCUUUUGAAUUUUUGGAUCUCUUCUCUUGUGAACAGUGUUUUGGGCAUCUGUCUCUCUGCUCAGUGCCAGUUGUACUUUUCCAUACCAUUUGGAAACAGCUUUCUUCUUUUGCAUUUGGGAUCUUAGUGUUCUUUUCAGCAAAGUCAGUGAACUCAUCAUCUUCAAAUUUAGAACUAUUACUGCUGCUUCUCAAAAUAGUCUCUGGAUUAAUUUUGGGUGCAUGUUCUUUCAUCAGACAUGCAUGGCGGCAUAUGCCACCUUAUAGCAUAAAUAAUUGUAUUGACUAGUUACUAAUUGCUGGUAGCUUUCUGGAGAAAAUUUGCUAAUGUAGAAUGUGAAUCAAGGUGUUCAUACCCAUGAGGUUCAGCUUUAAGCCUAGCUCUGCUCACAUGCACAAGGGAGCAUGUGGGAGAGAUAAAUUCUGUGCUUUCUUUGUGUAGCUCAUCUGGCUGGCUGGGUUAGGCAGGAGAAAGCACUGGAGCAGGAUGGUUAUUCCUGCUCAAACAGCAGAGCUGUCAGGCACAACUGCAUGGUGUUGCUGUUUUGCUUUUCUGCACAACAGAUAUCCUGGAUGUAAAAAUAAAAAAAAAAGAGCCAUGAAAUAGUUGGCUUUUCCUAUGGCAUCCUAAAUAAGAUUUAUUUAUAGUUUUAUUCCUGUCUGGGUUGAACCUUUUCUGCAGGUCACUCUUGUAAAAGCUGAACUUCUCUAUAACAUAAGCACAGAUAUCUGAGAGCAGGAGUCAGGUAUCCCAUGGUUCUUCAGCCUUCCCUGUCUGUAAAAAACAGUGGCAGGAGCAGGGCAAAAUACCUGUCUCUGUUCAUUUCAAUAGAGGGCCAUGAAAAGAAAUUCUGGAAUUCUGCUUCUCUCCAGCAGUGUCUUCCCUAUGCUUUGGGAUGGCCCUUCCAUACUGUGCUUCUCCCAGUCUUCUUUGAACUGGUUCUUACCUCUCACUUCUUUUUGCUGCUUUACUGCUUGGUUUGGGCUUGUCUUUGUUUGUUUUUUUUUUCUUCUUGCUAAUGUGUCAUGCUUUUUAUUUCAUCUGAAGAACAGAUUUCAGUUUACAUCACUGAGAGCUUCAAUGCUAUUAAAUAACUUUGUUUCAAUAUGAGAAUGCAAAUUAAGACAGGGAAGGAACAUGUUGCAUAAUUAUUAGUUUAAAAACAUCGUGAGGGUAAGUUUAAGCCUGAAGUCCUAGCAAAAAAAUACAUUGCACUUAGCUGACUAAUUAGACCUUAGACUCAAGGUGAAAAAUGCAGGCAGACAGCUGGGUAUGGCAAGAUGGACUUCCCAACUGAAAUUCUUUGGUAAAAUUCACGUGGCUUUUUAUUUAUUUGCACUUGCUGGAUUAUUUUGAGAGCACUGGACAAGAAAAUAUUGACUCAUUCUUCCAUCAUACUUCCCUUAAUUAUUUAUGUUGUGGCUUAUUCCACCAAUUUAAGAGUAGAAAUGCUUUUUUUUUUCCUCUCCAGCAAUUUUGUAAAUUACGUUUUGCCUAUGACACUGAAAUUGUCUUUGCAAUCUGAAGCUUAAUGGAAGAAACUAUUUUCUGAGGGAAAGGUAUCAUGAUUGGUUUUGUGUUUAACUUGAUAAUUUGUAUGUAUGUAUAUAUAUGCACAUAUAUAUAUAAAAUAUGUAGAUAGCAUGGUUAAAUUGGAGAUUUCUAAUACAGCAUGUGGCAUCAGGCCUUGUAAUGGCUGUAUUAAAGUGAAAUGUACAAAUUGCUACUUAUAGGAACUUUGAUCCUGAAUAGCUUUAAAAAUGUGACCUUUCAAAACUGAAUUUAAAAUAUGACUUAAAAAAAAAUAUCCCAGCAGCCAGCUGUUCCUGGGGAUCUCUUAGUACCGGGAAGCAUUUCACUGGUUUCAGUGGUGCCUUCCCAGCCUACAGUUUCACUUACUGACAGAAACCUGUUCCUUCUCCCCACCCAUGUCUAGGAACUGCUGUCAGACUUUUAAAACACCAGUCUUAACCACAUGCCUUAUUUGCUUAUGGUCAAGCCCUGGAACUUCUUGCUGACUUUCUGUGCCAGAAAAUGACCUGUGAGGGAAACAGGCUGUGGUAUAGAGUUUUGAUGUUCCUACACGUUACAUGCUGUACCUGCACUCAUAAAUGAAAAAAAAAAAGGUUACAAAAGUACGAUCUCUUGCAACCCUUAGGAUAGGAGCAAGGUAAAGAUCUGCAGAAGACCUGGGGUCUGCCAAGGCCUGCUAUUGCACUUCUGUAAAUCUGGACAGUGUACAGUGCUUUAAAUUAGGUGCCUGGUCUGUGAAGAGUUUUUGGAAGGACCAGGAAGUGCUGUUACAACAUUUCAUUAGUGUUUGAUUCUCUUGUGGUCUCUGAAUCUUUCCUUUGAUGUCUUUUCCCAGGAGAAAAUUAGCUAUUUGAAGUAUUUAAGCUGUUGUUUUUUCCAGGAAAACAGGAAAUAAUACUAAUGUGUUAAUCUUUAACUUGUAAUGGGAUGUGCUAGAGUAAUGUGACCCUCCAAAGUGCUUGGGGCAUCCUGUAGGCUUUGUCCACAAGUGAUGUAGUGUGGGAAGCCUGACUUCUAUCCAGCCUGGGUAAAGUGAAAUAACAGUAGAUACUUUCCAAGUUUUAUUGGUUUUCUACACAAUUUCUAAUAGCCUUGAUGAUACCUGAACAGUGUCAGAUAAUUUUCUAAUGUAAAAAUCCCAGUUUAAUAUGUCUGUACAUACAUUCCCAGUGUAAACACCCAUUGCUCCUUGCCUUUUUGUAUGCUGUCAGGAUGUGCAUACUGUGUAUACGUAACUGCUGGACUGUGCACCCUUGCACAAAAGCCUGAAUAAACGGGUUUUAACGUUCA
Long non-coding RNA from Parus major (Great Tit), 3756 nucleotides. RefSeq lists it as uncharacterized. The record is from RefSeq and is a predicted model, not a curated record. The transcript has 2 exons. NCBI's taxonomy places the organism in Eukaryota, Metazoa, Chordata, Aves, Passeriformes, Paridae.